AAGUUUGCUUAGGAGACACUUAUUUAUCACUCCCUUGCUCUAAAAUCUCCAAUGACUCCCACCGCUGAUACAUUUCCUGCUGCUGAGCACGGAACUUAAACUCUUCGUAAUCCAAGAUUCUCCUUUACUUUGUCUUUAUGGAGCUGUUCCUCAGUGUCAUUUAAAUUCCCUCUCCUCUCCCAGUAGUCAUAUCUUCCCAUCCGUAGGCACUUGCCAAACAAGGAGUUUCUCUUAUUUCCAUCCAUCAGCAUCCUGCCUUUUCUUCAAGGCUCAUCUCAAAAUGCCACUUCUACCCGGAAGUCUUCCUGGGUUCUCCUAACCAGGUUCCCUUUCCCCGGUUUGCCACGCCCACUGUAUGCUGGCUCACGAAUUCCACUACUAGUGCUGGGAAAACACCAGUUCAAAGCAUAUACUCAGAAGCUAUGAAAAAUGUGUUUUCUUCACACCAGGAGCAAGGACCAGGGUCAAGAUAAAAGCCUACUCCUUGAUCAACUUGGACCAUUGCUGGAGAGAUUUUAAUUAAUCGUAUGGAAAAUAUUCAAGGGGCUUAGGAAAGCUGGGGAAGGUGGAGGCAGAUGUAAGGUAGGCAAAGCAGCUGCCGGAAACAAGGCUUUCUUCCUGUAACUGUAUCCCCCGGGACUGCAGGAACAGCCUGAACGGGAGGCUACAGCCCGGUAAUGAAGACGUGAACCGCUGAAAUGCCGUGUCAGAUGGCGGCGGUGACAUCUGAAAGCCGUAAUUUGCUGCUCGGCAUAUUUUUGCUCCAGGUACCAGAGCCUGCACAAACGCUGUCGUGUCUCUCCAAGGCAGCCGCUCUGCUCUCCAGCCUGGCUCUGGGCCAGGUGGUCUUGGCCUUGCCAACAGGUUUCUUUGGUGGAGAGCUCGGGAAGUCUUUGCUUGGAUCGUCUGACCGUGCAGAAACCGGGGAGUAGCGUGAGGUUAAAAGCACACCUUAUUCCCCAGAGGGCGCGUCUCUUGAACCUUCCAUAUCCCCUCGCCCCAAUCUAAGUGACCAGGCUGACUUCUUAAAGUGUGACCUAUAAAGGGUCAAAAUAAUUUUAGCCAUGCCAGGACUGGAGGGCUCCUCAAAAGGAGAGCUUACAAGCAAGGCACUGAAGCUCAGAUCUGUUCAGAGCAACUCGCCCUUCUUUCAAUCUGCGGCUUCUCCACCCCUUUCUUUCUCUCCUGGUUGAUACCUUCCCAGAACCUCAGCCAGGCAGACAAGCAAUUCCUGUGAGUACUGGCCUUCAAAUGAAAGGUUGUCCUUUGAUCCCUCACUGGCUACCUGGCACUUCGGUGGACUCAGUGCCCGAGUUCAAGCCUCUGUGAGUAAGGGGAGAGGGAUCCCCACAAGCACACUCAGGCUAUGCUUAAACCACAGGAACUGGGAGAUUCAAGGUCUGGGCAGAGAGUGAGGCCUUUCACAGCUUAAUCCUCCCCGCUGCGCCUCAGCUCUGCAAGCAGCCUACGUCUGUUGACCCGCUGCUCUGGAUGGCCUUCCUGCCAGGCUCACUGGUGGGCGGAGAGGAUGAAGUGACCGCGAACAACAGGAGUCUCAGCUCCUGGCCUGAGUCCCUGAAAACACAGGCUGCAAAGCAGGUUUAACAGCCUCCAAAAAAAAAAAAAACGCCCGGAGGGGCAGAGGCAGGGCAAGGACUCACUAAAGUAGAGGGUUUACCUCAAGGACAGUAUCUCAAGGACUCCUAGGUGCUGAGUGCAGAAUCACCCUGAGAUUGGGAGGCAUCUGGUAAAUGCUUCCCUGGAAAACUUUUCACUAGGCAAACUGCUGGGACCUGCAGGUUAUUCAGCUCCCACGGCAGGGUGGUCCGAAGUCAACAGGGAGCAGGCAACAGAGACUUCUCCACACCCUGAAAAGCCCACCAUCACAGGCACCGGCUGACACUGAACUCUUUGAACCUCAAACAUUUUCUCACCUAGCAAACAGCAUAACCCACUUCAUAAACUGUGGUCAUCAGAUCCCUUGAGGAGCUGCUGGAAGACUCCCUUGUUAAAUGCAACACUUUAGCCCCCCCCACACACACACACACACUCCUGUUUCUUUGAGAUAUUAUGUAUUUUGCUGAAACCCGCCUUUUUUAUACCCCAUUCUUUCACUCCUUAUGAACGCACACUUUCAUGUAAGUAGCAUUACAAUCAAGAUAGAAAACAUCUCUACAGACCUCAGUAGUUCCCUCAUGCCCCUUUAUAAUCAAUCCUGACCCCCCCAGUCGCAGCUCCAGGCAGCACUGAUCUAUUUUCUAUCCCUACGGUUACCACUUCUUUCCAGAAUGGCACAUAAAUAGAACCGUACAGUAUGCGAUGGCUUCCUGAGUCAGGCUUCGUUCACUUAGCGUGAUUCAUGACUGCAUUAGUAACGUGAUCCUCUCUCAUCGCUAAGAAGCAUGCAGGUAUACUUCACCCACUAACCAGCGGAGGGACGUUCGGAUUGUUUCCAGUUUGGGGUGAUUAUGUAUAGAGCUGGAGUGAACAUUCAAAUUCAGAUUUCUUUGUGCGAUUGGAAGUUAUCAUUUCGGUAAAUAACUGUAACCGAAUUGGACGGUAUCGGCGCAUGCUUAACUGUGUAGAGUAAGUGUGGGACUGUUUUCCAAAACGACUAUAAUUCGUUCCCACUGGCAGCCUAUGGUUGUUCCGUCGCCCCGUGUUUACCUGAGGUGGCUGCAGCUUCCUUUCUGGUUGCUAUUUUCAUGAGUAGCUAGCUGUCUUUCACUGUAGUGGUAUUUUAAUUGUAUACCAACAGCAAUGCCAAACCUUUUUGUGUGCGUACUUACAUUCUACAUGGCUUCUUUGAUAACACAUCUGUUAAGACUGUCUGCCCAUAUAUUAUAGAGCGGUCUGGUUUUUACUUACUACUGAACUGUGAGAUUUCCAUCUACACAAACCCUUUCCCAGAUAUGUGAAUUACAGACGUUUCCCCCAGGUCUGUUUUUUUUUUUUUUUUCUCAUUCUCUCUCUUUUUGUUGUUGUUGUUUCCUGUCGCCUUUAUUUUUUAUUUUAUUUUUCUCAUCAUUUUCUUGUAAAAACCGAAACCGAAAAACCUUAGUUUUUGGUUUUAGUUUUCGAUAGUCUAGUUUAUCAGUUAGAUAAUCUUUUUGGUUUGUACCCAAGAACUCAUUGCUUGAGUCAGAAUCACGGACAUGUGAUUUUCUCCUGAGUGUUUUAUAGGAAUCUGUGUCAACGCCGUCUUCUCCUCCAUUUAUGUUUAAGUGACCCCACCCCCACCCCACUCAGUAUAUUGUCUGUCCUUCCCUCUGUCCUGGAGGAAGCCCUAAAGAAAGCUGGUGGGUGUGUUGCUUUCUCUGGGACUCUACCCUGUCCAACUGGUCAGCAAGUCUUUCCGUAGCACAGAUACCCUCAUUCCUGAGCUAAAGGCCUGUUGAAUGUGGGGCUUCCGUGUGUCUGUCUCUUGUUGGUUAUUUCCCUAGGCAAACUUCCAUGCUGGUUGCAGAACCGUCUUCAUGAUUUCUACAGGAGAAAGUUACAGGGAAAUGAUUUGUUCCCAGGUCGGAGGAGCUCUGGCAUCUUCCUCCCAGGGAAGCGCACAGUCAGUGGACCUCUAUCUACUUAAAUCGGAUUUAUUUCCCAUCAAUAUUUUACCUUUAAGACAAUACAGGUCUGGUACGUUAAAAAAAAAAAAACAAAAAACUUUUCAUGUGUAUUCAGUGCUCUGAGGGGCUACUGUAAAUGGCACUUUAAUUGAAAUAGCCUUUAUUGAGUGUCAGUGGUAAGUGUUGGGAGCUUUUGCACAGAAAUGUAGCUGCUUGGCUGGACUGCUCCUCAAUCCAAAGUUGACUACCUCCAUUAAUAAUUCUGUCAGCACUGAAAAUCGAUCAAGUGGGGGAUUUCUGGAUGGAUUGGUAUGAUGUUACAAGAAGAGACUCUCAAAACUACAUGUAACUUUUUUCUUUUCUUGUCUUAUCACUCACUGUCUAGGACUUCCACAGCUAUUCGGAUUUAACUAGUUGGAAGGCUCCUUCCCACCCUGUUCUGUGUCAUGGGGAAUCUUAGCUCCCCACAGCUAAGCAUCCUGCUGUCUGCAGGCAUUUCCAACAUGGAUGGGGAAUCCUAGUUUGCUGGCCAUUUUAUUUACUCUGGGUUGUUUGUUUGUUUUAUCAUGAAUGGAUUUUUCUUCUUUAGUCUGUUUAUAUGCAGAGUUACACUGACUAGUUCUUAAAAUACUUAACACCGUAUCCCCAGAUUGCAUGCCUGCGUUCUAAGUGUUCCUGAUGUGAACAUGCAGUAUGCUAUUCUAGACGGAACAACCUGUGGAGACCACCCAGACAGGUUAGGUUGGUAGAUGGAUCAUCUCAUUAUGUCUCCUCCUUGAUUUCGCCCUGUAUUUAUCAGUCAGACCGAGUUAAUGCUGAGAUAGGAGUGUUGAGAUCUCUGAUUGCAAUUAUCUCUCUCUUUUCAACUUUGUUAGUUUUUGCUUCUUGUGUUUUGAAGGGUUAUUACUAAGUAUACAUAUCUUUGGGGUUGCUACGUCACCUCCCCCAUGAGUCAAGAUUUUGCUAUAUAGCCUAGGCCGGUCUAAAGUCCACGUUCCUCCUGCCUCAGCGUCGUGAACACUAGUGUCAUAGUUAUGUGUCACCUGACUCAUGUUACAUCACCUUAAACUCUGCUAGUCGUCCUUACUAUAAAACCUACUUUCCCAUAAAUAUAUCUGGGGCAUGGGCUUUUCCUCGGCAUUUGAGUAGCGCAUUUAUUUUACUUGUUUUAACUUUAAUGCCCUGUAUUGUUUGUGUUUUAAAUGGAUUUUUAACCAGAUUGUCAGGUUGGAUCUUACUUUUCCGGGCUGCCCAAUAACUUCUGCCAUUCCAUUGCUCUGUUUAACUGUUUGUGUUUGAUGCAGUUAUUGACCCUGUGGAAUUAAAGCUGCUGUCUCGUGUCUGUCUCCCCUUGUUCUGUCUGUUGCAUCUUUCUUCUUCUCCUUUCCCUGACACUGGAUGGCUUUUAUUCCAUCUGAUUAUCUAGCGUUGACUUAUCAUUUUACUUUUAAAAUUUAUAGCACCUACCGUAACUAACUAUGGUCUACCCUCAACUAAUAUAAAGCUUUGCACCUAAGUGUCACAGCAGUAAAUUUUCAGUCCCUACAGACCUUUGUCCCAUUGUCAUAUGUAUUGGUUUUCCUCUUUUUUUUUUUUAAUAUAUUAAACACACACUACAAAAUUAAACUACUGUUUAGUUUUAGGUGGCUAUCUUUUGUUUUACAGAAUGACUAGAAAUUAUGUUUUAGACGCCUUGACCUCCACCCAACUUUAGCCAUUUCCAGAGAGCCUUAAUUUUUGCAUGCAGAUCUGUCUGCCGGCAUCCCCCCCUCUGCUGAGGAGCUCGCUAAAGCUUCUCUGGGUACAGUUGUGGUCAUGGAUUCUCUCAACCCUUGAGUAUCUCCAGCUGCCUUCUUUUCACCUCCGUUUGGAAAGGUGGCUGAGCUGGUGCCUUGGUUUACACAUUUCCCUUUACUGUCUUCUAGAAGACACAGAUUCAGAAUGGAAAUCAGUCACACUCUGCCGCUUUCUCCUGCCUCUUUCUCUUUGGUUUAUGGAAGCAUAGGGUGUGUGCUGCUCCUCUCCUCAUGCCCUUGUCUUAUUCAUCAGUUUUCUCCUUGCCUCCCAUUCUCUCCUCUACCCUGUGGGGUUUCAAUUCCAGGUAUAUUCAACCAUUUGAUAUCAAGCCACACCUCUGGAUAUCUUUCUUCUCUCUCUUUUCUCUUUUAGCAUCUCAUUUGUAGUACUUUCCUGUGUUGGUAAAAAGCAAGCAAACAAACAAAUCGAACGGAAAAACACAUAGGUAAGUGCUUUACUACUGGCCUACAUCCUCUGCCCACAGUUUGAAUGAUCUGGGAUGACUUAUUUCCAGGUUCACGAAUUCUCAGUGGUGUUAGUUUUAUUUAUGAGUCCUCUCUUCUCUCCUUCCUUCUCUUCCCCUCCCCUUCCCCCUUCUCUCCUCUCUUCCCACUUCUCCCCUCCCUUCCCUUCCCCUCCCCUCCUCCUUUUCUUCUCCCCCCAUUUAUUUAUUUAUUUAUUUAUUUAUUUAUUUAUUUAUUUAUUUAUUUUUGACAGAGAAUCUUGCUUACUAUGUAGCCCAGGCUGGCCUCAGACUUGAUUCUGCCCCCUCCAUUUCCUGAGAAACUGUAGCACUCUGCUGUUGCCUCUGUUGUCUUGUUCUUGUUGACCUCCUGGUAGGUUUGUUUGUGGCUUAUUUAUGGUUUCCAACUCUCUGUUCAGAUUCCCAUCUACUCAGACAUUGUCCACUGACUGUAAGGCUUCCAUGCUCUCGGCAGCCAUUCACUGUGUGUUUCUACAACACUGUGUGUUCCUAGGUCCUCUCUGAGUUUGCUUCUAUUCCUAAGCUCACCCGUUUUUCUUUUCCCUUUUCCCUCCUAGUGCUAAGGAUUGCUCGCCUUGAACGCGCAACCUUCCUUCCUCUCAGGUAGCUGAGGUUGAGAACUUAAGGACCACGCCACCUCUCUAACAAUGAGUUCACUUCUCUUGCUUCUUUGUUAUUAUUUAUUUAGUUAGUAGAGUAGUAGGCAUUGUGUGAAGACUAGCAGAGCUUAAGGCAAAUAUUAUAGAUGACUGGAAAUGAACAUACCAGGCCUUCAAUGUAGAUUUCAAAUUCUAAUGCUUCAAUUAGAAUUUGAGGGAUUUUUGUUUUUGUUUGUCUUUGUUUAUUUGUCUGUUUUGAGGCAGGGUUUCUCUGUGAAGCCCUAGCUGUCCUGGAACUCACUCUCUAGACUAGGCUGGCCUUGAACUCAGAGAUCUGCCUGCCUCUGCCUGCCUAGUGCUGGGAUUAAAAGUGUGCACCACCAUCCCCCGGCUGUUUUUUGUUUUGUUUUGUUUUGUUUUGUUUCUAUUCUUACAACUUUGUUUAGUUCACAACUGCCUUCAAAUCCCUAUAACACAGCAGUGUUAACCUAACUGGACAUUCAUUUUACAAUGCCUGGGGACAUUUCUUGUUUGGUUGGUUCACAACUAAGAGAAGAGAAUAAUACUAGGAUCUACUGGGAGGAGACAGGGGAUUCUUUACUGGGUGCCCCAUAGCUAAAAUUCACAUGGUACGAAGCAUUGGCGUGGCAAGAUCUAACUUUGAAUUCUAUGAGCAUAAAGUGUGGGGUCAGCUCAGAGGAGGCUGAUUCUCGGGGAUCCCCGCCUCCGUCAUUUCUCAGCCUCUGUAUCUGGGAAUAUAUUUAAACAGAAACCAUCUGGGAAAAGGAAACCUCAGUGGUUGUUAAGGGCAGAGAAACUUACUCUGUUGUUUGGAAUGGGGUGUACAUACAGCUUCAUGAAGAGGUGUGUGUGUGUGUGUGUGUGUGUGUGUGUGUGUGUGUGUGUGUUUGUAGGUUUUUCGGUGCAUUGUUAGGCAAGGGUGUCCCUAUAGUACAUAAAGAUGGAGGGGGCAGGCCGUAGGUGGCCAAGUGCAUUAUUAAAUGAAAAUACUGUGCAUGUCCCAGAACAAGUAGAAUCCCAGAUUGCCGAGCUGUUCACUAGCUUGUCUGCCUCAUCUGCACCUUCCAUGGAUCUCUUUCAAUAUUCCUGAGCUUGUUACCUGGGGUCGAAUAGUCUGGGGGUGGAGGGUAAGAAGGCGUGGUGUAUGUCCUGGCUUCACUUCAGCCAUAGGUGAGCUCUGAGUACUGGAUCUGUGCUGAACUUUCUCAGGCCUCCCCCACCCGCCUCCCCCAUCCCUCCUCACUGUGGCAAACAAACUCUGCAUUACAUCUUCUGUGAAUCUUGAGAAAAGGGCUUCCUGCCCUCUCCUAGCCUUAGGAAGCCCUUCUGAGUAUUAGAGAGGGCUCAGCAGUGUUCCCCAGCCCUCCCAAGGAGGUAGAUGGUUUGUGGGGUUCCCCCUUUCACCGGUCCUUGUGAGUCACUGCUCCAAAACCCCAAUGUCACUGUCAACACCUAUAAAGGAGACUGGAGAAGGACCUGGGAGUAUGUACACGGCCUCGUGUCUGUGUGCUCUGUAUGGUCACUCUGCCCUGACCUAGUUUGCAGUUCAUUUCAGGAACUGCAUCUGUGAGGUCAUAUGUUGCUGCUCCCAAUAUGCUGCCAUAGUGAGUGCCUGUUCAUUGUUUCUCUCCAGAAAGAGCAUGCUUUCCCCCCCAUUCCAGACUAUGUGGCCGUUCUUACAACCUCAGCUCCUCUAGUUCAAGAAAAUAGUUAAUUUUAUAGUUCACUGUGAUUUUCUUCUUUUUUUGCUGUUUUCAGCCAUGCAUGUUCUAGACACCUUCACCAGCCCUAGCCCUAUGAGACAGCAUGUUCUGUGUCCACAAAAUAGCUCACAAGGACCAGCAACAAGGGAAGAGGUCAGCAUCAGGCAGCAGUGUGCUGUUUAAUGCAGCUUCUCCGGAGAGAUUCCCAGAAUGAAGCAAGGAUUCCCAGAGCCUCGGCUCUUAAAACGUACAGAAAACUUCAAGGAAGGAAACUAGAAAGAACUUUAUAUAGACUUGUAAGCAGUAUUGGGUUUAGUGGCUUUUGUUCCCUCUUCUUUUGAUAAAAUGUUGACCAAAGGCAACUUUGGGACAGAAAUGGUUUAUUUGGUUUAUACUUUUAUACCACGAUCCAGGAAGGGAAGUCAGGGCAGGAGCUCACAGCGGGAACCUGGAGGCAGGAACUGAAGCAGAGACUAUGGGGGAACCUUGCUUAUUGGCUUGCUUUCUGGGUUUCACUCAACCUUGCUUCCUUAUAUGAACCAGGACCACCUGCCAGGAGGUUGCCAUGGCUACAGUGGACUGAGCAGACCACUAACACUUGGUAGGAGAGAGAAAAGGGUAGAGGGAAAAGGGAGACAUUAUGGUUAAACUACUUCCUGCUGAUUGGGGACACUGAGUUCCUUGGGGAAAGUUUGACCUUUGCUGUCAGGAUAUCUAUUUUUUUGUUCUUGUUGUUUCUUCUUUGUGCAUGACUACUUAACAAACCACAACCGACAGCAACCAACUACACACAACCAACAGCCAACCUCUGGAGGGCCCUAGCAUUUAUACAGCCUCUGAAGAGUUUCCAGAAUUCCAAAUGUCACACACCCGCAGGAACUAUCUGCAUCUGGCAAAAUCACACGCCUGCUACAGCACGAGGCAAAUCAUAGUCAGUUGCUGUGGACAAUCUGAAACAACCGCAUCUCCCACACCUGGGAUCAAAACAAAAGCAUAUUCUUAUAAUAUUUCUGUGUUUACAAAGAAAUGAAAAUUUGUACUGCAGUGCCAUUUUGCAAGCUGGUAAAAAAAAUUUUUUUAAAAGCCAGUGGUUCUGUUUGACUGUAAGACCUCAGAACUGGGUUACAAGGAAGAAAGAGGUUACUGGUACAAUUCCCAGUGUCAUAAGGCCCAGCAUCCCCAUGCCUUGGGCUGAAGGCAGGAGAAUAUGGAUAGAUAUCUAAGUUCAAGAACAGAGUUUUCCAAAUCUAGAUGUCUUGACAUCUUGGACUUCUAAAUUGUAAAGGAAUAAACUUUUAUGACUCAUGCAGAAUCAACUAAAACUUUUUUUGGCAUAAAUAUUUUGGAACAUAAGCCAUACCGCAGACUGCAGAUCCAGCAUCCUCUGGGCAACUAUGUGUGAACAGGGACUAUCUUGUUGAAUCUACUGGAAGAAUGAUCUACAGUACUCUCUACUCUCCAGCCUCAACCAUGGGAAUCCUGCAAACACCCAGGAAGAAAUGAUCUGGGCAAAAUAUCUGAGAUCAUUCAAUAAAACAGAGUGUGGACAUUUAAUACUGCAAUGAUCCUUCAGUUUCAAAUCGGCUUUUACGAUUCUCCGUCACACAGAGAAAGCCUCUCUGUCCCCUGUCAAGGAGAAGGCUCACAAAGCAAAAGCAAACACUCUGGAAACUGCCCACCAAAUGAAAGCUAAUGAUGCUUUCCUUUCUUGGUCAAGAAGUAACCUUCAGAGCCAAGUGCAGUGGCUCACACCUGUCAUCCCAGCACUUACUUGGGAGGCGAAGGCAGGAAGGAGGGUGUAGUAAGGUCAAGUCAAGCUUGGGCUACGUCCAGAGUUCCAGGCCAAAGUCAGAGAUCCAGGGCAUCACCGCUACUCUGCCUCACAAAAAAGCAUACAGGAGCUCUUCAGGCUCAGUGCCCACAACCGCACGCAGGCAGAGAUAUACAUGUACACAGUUGCUUCUAGAAAAAGCAAAGCUGUCAUUGAGCUUAGAAAAAAGCCACUAACUCAGAGACCUAAGGGCAAAUGCUGGGGUAGAUAUGAAUUACAUAGCACCACUAGACCUAAAGAGUCUGUGUCUGAUUGCGUUUCUAAUUUACUUUGAUUUACUAGAACUAAUUUGCAAUAGUGACUGGCAAUCUGCCCCUGGUAAGGGUGCUUCUAAAUUUAAAAUUCAAUUUUAAUUCAUUUCAACAAAUGCUUAUUGAGCCCUUCUAAAUGCCAGGCAUUAUGCGAGGGUCUGGGGACAGAGAUUUGCCCAGGGAACAUGGUGGUCCUCCUACAACUUAGCAAAGUAGCAGAUUACCUACUGACUGACCUUCCUCAUCAAAUAUCAGCCACCAGACAUUUUGUAGUGUUCCAACCAAUGCCUUACACUUGGCUUUGUCUCAGGCUGUACAAUAAGGCUGAAGGGCCAUGGUUCAUGCCCACUGCUAGCUACAGGGUUUGUAGAAAGAUUCUAUUUCUGGGCUGGCAGAGAUGUCCUCUCCCCUCCCAGGGUUGAAUAUGACCAACCACGGACAGCAUCAAAGGCUCAGGGACAGCCUGGUAAUAUGCAUCCUCUCACCACAUAAGCUGUGCAGCUAAUGUUGCAGUGGGAUAUUGUUCCAAAGGUGCAUAUCUGGAAGGCCUCAAAGGAAUGUGACCUAAGCUGUAUGUUUUUUAAUACAUCUUUUUUUUUCUGCUAAAAUCACUCUUCUUCUUGCUGGCAGAUCAGAAUUCUGACUGAUAUACAUAGUUAGAUUCCCACCCAAAGAGAGUAUGUUGUACCAUCUGAAAUCACAUAGCUUUGGGGUGGGGUGGGGUGGGGUAUUGGAUUAUGUCUAUAUGAAAAGGACAUAGAAUCCUUUUAGGGACUAGAGAGAUGGCUUGUGGUUAAGAACACUUGUUGUUCUUCCAAAGGACCAAGGUUCGAGUCCCAGCAACCACAUGGGUGACUCAUACCCACCUGUAACUCCUAUUCAUGAUGGAUCCCAUACCCUCUUCUGGCCUCCUCAGAUGUCAGACAUGUACACGGUACAAAGAUCUACAUGUAAGAACUCACAGAUACACACAAAGUAAAAUUAAUUAAUUAGUUGAUUAAUUAAAAAGAAAGUCCUGUUAGUCAUUGGUGCUCAGCUGUAGGACAAGCUGGCAUUGCCUCCACUAGCUUGUCUCAAAGAAGGAAAAGAAAUUUAGUUUCAUUUUUAUUCUAUCAAAUAUGAACAGACACACUGCUUUGUAUCACUCAUUUGCAUUCAUAUAUGUUCUUCGGACAGGAGGAAAAAGUAGCAGCGUGAGGAUGCUAAGCAGUGCUUCAUGGAUGAGGGCUUAUUCUGUUUGGGCUAUAGCUGGAGACAGGUCAUGGUGUGGUGAGCCUUUGCACCCGAGCUUUUGGAAUCUUUCCAUGUCGGGAGGGGCAAGAACUCCCAGCAUGCACUGCGCCAACUAUGCGUUGGGAGAGCUGUUUUGCAGAGCUCUGUCCCCUCAGGGUGCACGUGUCCCUGCAGGUGCCUGCCGCCAGCUUUAGUGGCCACAGUAUCAACACAUCCAUCAGCGGCCUUUCAUAUUAAGUUACAGAACACAUACCAUGGGGCCCAAUUUAACUGGAGGACAAGGAAAUGUUUUAAAUUCUAGCGCUGCCCUGAGCCAUACGAGACCAGUCACGUUGUGUAACCUUUCUUUACUAUCUAUUCUUCCUCUGCACCCAGCUGCUGCAAGGUACAAUAUUAUACUUCGCCCAGACUCUGGGCACCUGUUGUAGGCAAUUUGAAAUAAAAACAAGUUGGUGGGGAACUCGAGAAGGUAUUUGGGAGCACAUUUCAUUCGCUCCGGAUACCCCUGCAGACUAUUCCAUUUCAGCAGAUUCUGCAACCAUUCCUCUUUGCCAUCAUUCGGUGGGGGGGGGGGGGGGGGUCAGGGAGGGGAGCAGGCAUCACACAUCUCUCUUUAGAGAGAACAAAUCAGCACUCUGCUGGUCCAGAGGCUGCAGACGGCCUUGCUCAUUCUCCUCUGGUCCACUCUGCUUCUCUGCUGUGUGCUAAUAUUUCCUUUCUGCCUUUCCAUUUGUCACAGCCGCCUUUCCCCCAAAGAGCUUUCAUUUCCUCUUGUUUGUCUACCCCGCACUCCCUCACUCCCUCCCUCCGUGCUUUUCAUGAGAGGACACCAACAUUCCUGGAAGACUAGAGAAGGUUCACAAAUUAAUGGCAGGGACCCAGCAAAGUCAGACAUGACCCGGAUGGCACCAUACACAGAAAGGAGAGUCAGUACGUGUGUCCUUGUAUCCCUUGAGGUGUCCUGCUUUGGACUCACCUGUCGGCUUUUCAUCAGUAUGAUCAUGACGAUUGCUUAGGGAAAUUAGCAAUUUCUCCUAAGAACAAAGAGAGAUUCAGAGGGGCAAGAACAUGCAGUUCACUCCACAAGCUUUUCAGAAUCAUUUGCCAAGACCCAGGCUGCUUUUUUUUUAUCUGUUUAUUUCUAUUCUUAAAAUGGUUGCCUGUUUCUAAAUCCUUCACCAGCCAUCAUUGUUAGCAUUCUUAACUCCCCUCCCAAUCCCCUGAAUAAACCUUAUUCUAUACUAUACCAUGGUGUGGCUGGUCCCUCAGGGGGAAGGGA
This is a non-coding RNA of Rattus norvegicus (Norway rat), 12764 nucleotides long. The record is from RefSeq and is a predicted model, not a curated record. Lineage: Eukaryota; Metazoa; Chordata; Mammalia; Rodentia; Muridae.